RNAcentral lists this ribosomal RNA (1445 nucleotides) under uncultured organism. RNAcentral describes it as "SSU rRNA". It matches the Rfam family "Bacterial small subunit ribosomal RNA". The record is from RNAcentral.
ACGCUAGCUACAGGCUUAACACAUGCAAGUCGAGGGGCAGCAUGGUCUUAGCUUGCUAAGGCCGAUGGCGACCGGCGCACGGGUGAGUAACACGUAUCCAACCUGCCGUCUACUCUUGGACAGCCUUCUGAAAGGAAGAUUAAUACAAGAUGGCAUCAUGAGUCCGCAUGUUCACAUGAUUAAAGGUAUUCCGGUAGACGAUGGGGAUGCGUUCCAUUAGAUAGUAGGCGGGGUAACGGCCCACCUAGUCUUCGAUGGAUAGGGGUUCUGAGAGGAAGGUCCCCCACAUUGGAACUGAGACACGGUCCAAACUCCUACGGGAGGCAGCAGUGAGGAAUAUUGGUCAAUGGGCGAGAGCCUGAACCAGCCAAGUAGCGUGAAGGAUGACUGCCCUAUGGGUUGUAAACUUCUUUUAUAAAGGAAUAAAGUCGGGUAUGGAUACCCGUUUGCAUGUACUUUAUGAAUAAGGAUCGGCUAACUCCGUGCCAGCAGCCGCGGUAAUACGGAGGAUCCGAGCGUUAUCCGGAUUUAUUGGGUUUAAAGGGAGCGUAGAUGGAUGUUUAAGUCAGUUGUGAAAGUUUGCGGCUCAACCGUAAAAUUGCAGUUGAUACUGGAUAUCUUGAGUGCAGUUGAGGCAGGCGGAAUUCGUGGUGUAGCGGUGAAAUGCUUAGAUAUCACGAAGAACUCCGAUUGCGAAGGCAGCCUGCUAAGCUGCAACUGACAUUGAGGCUCGAAAGUGUGGGUAUCAAACAGGAUUAGAUACCCUGGUAGUCCACACGGUAAACGAUGAAUACUCGCUGUUUGCGAUAUACUGCAAGCGGCCAAGCGAAAGCGUUAAGUAUUCCACCUGGGGAGUACGCCGGCAACGGUGAAACUCAAAGGAAUUGACGGGGGCCCGCACAAGCGGAGGAACAUGUGGUUUAAUUCGAUGAUACGCGAGGAACCUUACCCGGGCUUAAAUUGCAGAUGAAUUACGGUGAAAGCCGUAAGCCGCAAGGCAUCUGUGAAGGUGCUGCAUGGUUGUCGUCAGCUCGUGCCGUGAGGUGUCGGCUUAAGUGCCAUAACGAGCGCAACCCUUGUUGUCAGUUACUAACAGGUUCCGCUGAGGACUCUGACAAGACUGCCAUCGUAAGAUGUGAGGAAGGUGGGGAUGACGUCAAAUCAGCACGGCCCUUACGUCCGGGGCUACACACGUGUUACAAUGGGGGGUACAGAGGGCCGCUACCACGCGAGUGGAUGCCAAUCCCCAAAACCUCUCUCAGUUCGGACUGGAGUCUGCAACCCGACUCCACGAAGCUGGAUUCGCUAGUAAUCGCGCAUCAGCCACGGCGCGGUGAAUACGUUCCCGGGCCUUGUACACACCGCCCGUCAAGCCAUGGGAGCCGGGGGUACCUGAAGUGCGUAACCGCGAGGAGCGCCCUAGGGUAAAACUGGUGACUGGGGCU